AGAGUUUGAUCAUGGCUCAGAUUGAACGCUGGCGGCAGGCUUAACACAUGCAAGUCGAACGGUAACAGGAAGAAGCUUGCUUUUUUGCUGACGAGUGGCGGACGGGUGAGUAAUGCUUGGGAAUCUGGCUCAUGGAGGGGGAUAACUACGGGAAACUGUAGCUAAUACCGCGUAGUAUCGGAAGAUGAAAGUGUGGGACCGCAAGGCCACAUGCCAUGAGAUGAGCCCAAGUGGGAUUAGGUAGUUGGUUAGGUAAAGGCUGACCAAGCCGACGAUCUCUAGCUGGUCUGAGAGGAUGACCAGCCACACUGGAACUGAGACACGGUCCAGACUCCUACGGGAGGCAGCAGUGGGGAAUAUUGCACAAUGGGGGAAACCCUGAUGCAGCCAUGCCGCGUGAAUGAAGAAGGCCUUCGGGUUGUAAAGUUCUUUCGGUGAUGAGGAAGGUGUUUGUUUUAAUAGGACAAGCAAUUGACGUUAGUCACAGAAGAAGCACCGGCUAACUCCGUGCCAGCAGCCGCGGUAAUACGGAGGGUGCGAGCGUUAAUCGGAAUAACUGGGCGUAAAGGGCACGCAGGCGGUGACUUAAGUGAGAUGUGAAAGCCCCGAGCUUAACUUGGGAAUUGCAUUUCAUACUGGGUCGCUAGAGUACUUUAGGGAGGGGUAGAAUUCCACGUGUAGCGGUGAAAUGCGUAGAGAUGUGGAGGAAUACCGAAGGCGAAGGCAGCCCCUUGGGAAUGUACUGACGCUCAUGUGCGAAAGCGUGGGGAGCAAACAGGAUUAGAUACCCUGGUAGUCCACGCUGUAAACGCUGUCGAUUUGGGGAUUGGGUUUUAUGCUUGGUGCCCGUAGCUAACGUGAUAAAUCGACCG
RNAcentral lists this ribosomal RNA (872 nucleotides) under uncultured bacterium. Its description in RNAcentral is "bacterial SSU rRNA". It matches the Rfam family "Bacterial small subunit ribosomal RNA", at positions 8 to 871 of the family's 1533-position model. The record is from RNAcentral.